UUAGGGUUGGGCUUGGAGCUAGGAUUUUUCUGAGUGCAAUGAACCAACUCCCGAGUCUCUAGGACGUUCCUAAAAAAUUUUGAUUUUUUCCCAUAGGAAUGCAUGGGUUAGGGUUAGGGUUAGGGUUGGAGCUAGGGUUAGGGUUAGGGUUAGGGUUGGAGUUAGGGUUAGUGUUGGAGCUAGGGUUAGGGUUGGGCUUGGAGCUAGGAUUUUUCUGAGUGCAAUGAACCAACUCCUGAGUCUCUAGGACGUUCCUAAAAAAAAUUUAUUUUUUCCCAUAGGAAUGCAUGGGUUAGGGUUAGGGUUAGGGUUGGAGCUGGGGUUAGGGUUAGGGUUGGAGUUAGGGUUAGGGUUAGGGUUAAGGUUGGAGCUAGGGUUAGGGUUAGGGUUAGGAUUAGGGUGGAGCAAGGGUUAGGGUUAGGGUUAGAGCUAGGGUUAGGGUUGGGGCUAGGGUUAGGGUUAGGGUUAAGGUUGGAGCUAGGGUUAGGGUUAAGGUUAGGGUUGGAGCUAGGGUUAGGGUUAGGGUUAGGGUUGGAGCAAGGGUUAGGGUUAGGGUAAGGGUUGGAGUUAGGGUUAGGGUUAGGGUUAAGGUUGGAGCUAGGGUUACAGUUAGGGUUAGGGUUAGGGUGGAGCUAGGGUUAGGGUUAGGGUUAAGGUUGGAGUUAGGGUUAGUGUUGGAGCUAGGGUUAGGGUUGGGCUUGGAGCUAGGAUUUUUCUGAGUGCAAUGAACCAACUCCCGAGUCUCUAGGACGUUCCUAAAAAAAUUUGAUUUUUUCCCAUAGGAAUGCAUGGGUUAGGGUUAGGGUUAGGGUUGGAGCUAGGGUUAGGGUUAGGGUUAGGGUUGGAGUUAGGGUUAGUGUUGGAGCUAGGGUUAGGGUUGGGCUUGGAGCUAGGAUUUUUCUGAGUGCAAUGAACCAACUCCUGAGUCUCUAGGACGUUCCUAAAAAAAUUUGAUUUUUCCCCAUAGGAAUGCAUGGGUUAGGGUUAGGGUUAGGGUUGGAGCUGGGGUUAGGGUUAGGGUUGGAGUUAGGGUUAGGGUUAGGGUUAAGGUUGGAGCUAGGGUUAGGGUUAGGGUUAGGAUUAGGGUGGAGCUAGGGUUAGGGUUAGGGUUAGAGCUAGGGUUAGGGUUGGGGCUAGGGUUAGGGUUAGGGUUAGGGUUAAGGUUGGAGCUAGGGUUAGGGUUAAGGUUAGGGUUGGAGCUAGGGUUAGGGUUAGGGUUAGGGUU
RNAcentral lists this long non-coding RNA (1225 nucleotides) under Xyrichtys novacula (pearly razorfish). Lineage: Eukaryota; Metazoa; Chordata; Actinopteri; Labriformes; Labridae. The record is from RNAcentral.